UCAGACGUGAUCACCCGCUGAACUUAAGCAUAUC
Molecule: ribosomal RNA, 34 nt
Filed under: Pratylenchus goodeyi
Lineage: Eukaryota; Metazoa; Nematoda; Chromadorea; Rhabditida; Pratylenchidae
Description: partial 28S ribosomal RNA
Source: RNAcentral